Zootermopsis nevadensis is the source of this 73-nucleotide non-coding RNA. The record is from Rfam. Lineage: Eukaryota; Metazoa; Arthropoda; Insecta; Blattodea; Termopsidae.
GCCACAGUGGUCUAGUGGUCAGAACGCUAGCCUUGUAAGCCUGGGGUCCCGGGUUCAAUUCCCGGUGGUGCUC